UCAGCGUACGCGGCAAAAUUCAUGGGACGAGAAGUGGCACCAUAUGCGGAGUUUGUUUGGAAACAGAAGGCACUCCUCCAGUGUCGCUUCUUCGCUUGGUUGGCCAUGCGAAAUCGCUGUUGGACCUCGGACCGUUUGGUGAGACGAGGGCUACCACACCAAGCAGCGUGCCCCUUCUGCAAUCAGCAGGGCGAGACGAUCGACCACAUCCUGCUCACCUGCGUCUUUGCACGAAUGAUAUGGCUAUGGACCUGGAACGCUCUAGGAGACACUUCACAGGCUCCGGCGGCGGAGGAUACCUUGGUGGACUAG
Molecule: ribosomal RNA, 312 nt
Filed under: Triticum aestivum (bread wheat)
Lineage: Eukaryota; Viridiplantae; Streptophyta; Magnoliopsida; Poales; Poaceae
Description: partial small subunit ribosomal RNA
Source: RNAcentral